ACCUAACUGACUCAGUUGGUGGAGUGUGCGACUCUUGAUCUUGGGAUUGUGGGUUCAAGCCCCACGUUGAGUG
Molecule: transfer RNA, 73 nt
Filed under: Canis lupus familiaris (dog)
Lineage: Eukaryota; Metazoa; Chordata; Mammalia; Carnivora; Canidae
Also listed under: 2 other names
Rfam family: tRNA
About the family: Transfer RNA (tRNA) molecules are approximately 80 nucleotides in length. Their secondary structure includes four short double-helical elements and three loops (D, anti-codon, and T loops). Further hydrogen bonds mediate the characteristic L-shaped molecular structure. tRNAs have two regions of fundamental functional importance: the anti-codon, which is responsible for specific mRNA codon recognition, and the 3' end, to which the tRNAs corresponding amino acid is attached (by aminoacyl-tRNA synthetases). tRNAs cope with the degeneracy of the genetic code in two manners: having more than one tRNA (with a specific anti-codon) for a particular amino acid; and 'wobble' base-pairing, i.e. permitting non-standard base-pairing at the 3rd anti-codon position.
Source: Rfam by way of RNAcentral